Molecule: non-coding RNA, 207 nt
Organism: Cinara cedri
Lineage: Eukaryota; Metazoa; Arthropoda; Insecta; Hemiptera; Aphididae
Source: the annotation of a GenBank genome assembly
GAGUAUUGACCGUUUUAGUACCGUUUUGCGUUUACUUAUAAUCGUUUCGUUAACAAUGCUAUGUUUUAUCGGUUUGAAAUGUAUCGGGAAAUCAUUUAUAUCACGUUGAACGAAAUCGAAUCGUCAUUUUCAAACGGACACGCCAACGGCAUUCCGGAGCUAACGCGACGACCCCGCAGAAUUUCCCGCCGUACUAACACAAAAUUU